UACGAAGGGGGCUAGCGUUGCUCGGAAUCACUGGGCGUAACGGGUGCGUAGGCGGGUCUUUAAGUCAGGGGUGAAAUCCCGGAGCUCAACUCCAGAACUGCCUUUGAUACUGAAGAUCUUGAGUUCGGGAGAGGUGAGUGGAACUGCGAGUGUAGAGGUGAAAUUCGUAGAUAUUCGCAAGAACACCAGUGGCGAAGGCGGCUCACUGGCCCGAUACUGACGCUGAGGCACGAAAGCGUGGGGAGCAAACAGG
RNAcentral lists this ribosomal RNA (253 nucleotides) under uncultured bacterium. RNAcentral's name for it is "partial 16S ribosomal RNA". It matches the Rfam family "Bacterial small subunit ribosomal RNA", at positions 524 to 776 of the family's 1533-position model. The record is from RNAcentral.